CGGGUAGGUCAUGAAGUCGUUGUGUUUUACCACGUAAUUUCGUAACGAUACAUUUUUCUAACUACAAUUACCUUCACAUCAAGUCUUGGUUGCAUGCGUUCUCUAAAAUUAUUUGCCAGCGCCGAUAAUAGACGGCAGGAGAUCUGGAGUACAGCUUGAAUACUUAUUGACUCCCAUUCCUGCAGUGCCACAAAGAAACCUCUAUAAAAGCAGAAGACAAGAAUACGAAGAUGCAUUCGGUCCACAUCCUGGCGGCGACAACCCCAGAUCGACUAUAACUUCGUCUGCAUUGCCAAUAACGGAAACAACAAAACAAACAAGCAACAAGCAAACAUCUAUGGCAUUGACAAGUGUAAGUGCAAGUAAAUCGACGACUGAAGAGCAGUCAACAGC
Molecule: long non-coding RNA, 393 nt
Organism: Zerene cesonia (dogface butterfly)
Lineage: Eukaryota; Metazoa; Arthropoda; Insecta; Lepidoptera; Pieridae
Exons: 3
Source: RefSeq, a predicted model, not a curated record